Molecule: long non-coding RNA, 1015 nt
Filed under: Homo sapiens (human)
Lineage: Eukaryota; Metazoa; Chordata; Mammalia; Primates; Hominidae
Description: HSALNT0026332
Source: RNAcentral
UGUUGGUUUUAUUGUUUGAAAAUAUGUAAAUCCUAUCUCUUUUUUUUUUGCUAUGAACGUGUUUAGAUUUUCCUGAGGUGCAGGAAUUCUUCAGUGCUGACUACUCCUAGAACAGCAUAACUGAUGUAACCCUUUCCCUGCUGUUGACAUGUGUCACAUCACAUUAGUGAUUAAAAAUGCAUCAUUUCUUGGAAUCCAAUGUUAAGAUUCUGGGGGGUCUCCUGUGGGGCAGGCUGAGACCGUCCUCCAUAGAAAGGAAACUGGCCCUUGUCUGGGGUCUGAGAACUUGGCUGGUGACCAGCUGCCCAAGCUCUUAUAACAUCUUCCCUGAAUGGUAAGAGUGGCUCACUGAGCCUGACCAGUGCACGCAGAAUGGUCUGUGCUGAACUUUCUUUCUGGAGGUCUUGAGUGUGGGUAUGAGCUAGACAGUGGGUGCCUAUGUGACCAGCCCCCAGUGAAGAUGCUGGGUGCUGAGUCUUUAACGUGCUUCUCUGGAAGACAGCAUUCCCAUAUGUUAUCAGGACACAUUGCUGGCAAGUGUGUCCUGUGCAACCUCACUGGGAGAGAAUGCUUGGAAACUUGCAUCUAAUUUUCUUCCAAAUUCUUUCCUUUCUCUGAUUUUGCAUUUUAUCCUUUAACUGUAAGAAAUGUUAGCUAUGAGUACAACUAUAUGCUGAGUCCUGGGAGUCAUUAUGGGAGUGUUGAAUCUUGGGGAUCCCUGAAAUCCCCCUGACAUAGGAAUGUAGGCCUAGGAUUAUAAAGGAUAUCUUAAGUGCCUUAUACUUUGUCUACAAAGAAGUGUCUAUGAAAGAGCGCUUGUGGGGAAUGGGUUAAUAGGAGUGUUUAGAAGAAACCCAGCAUUGAAAAUGGACCACUGAUCACCCUUCCCCCAAAGUCAGUGUAUUUUCCCAUCUCCUCUCCCCAAAUCUAUAAGUGAAGAACAGCCUUUCACAAGUAGCCUGUCAUUUGUAUUUCUUACCCUCUAAAGCCUUGUAAGUUUUUUGUGUUUUUUUUG